UACGUAGGGCGCAAGCGUUGUCCGGAAUUAUUGGGCGUAAAGAGCUCGUAGGCGGCCUGUCGCGUCCGCUGUGAAAUCCCGGGGCUUAACCCCGGGCGUGCAGUGGAUACGGGCUGGCUGGAGGCAGGCAGGGGAGAACGGAAUUCCCGGUGUAGCGGUGAAAUGCGCAGAUAUCAGGAGGAACACCGGUAGCGAAGGCGGGUCUCUGGGACAACUGAACGUCGUGAGGAACGAAAGCGUGGGGAGCAAACAGG
RNAcentral lists this ribosomal RNA (254 nucleotides) under uncultured bacterium. Its description in RNAcentral is "partial 16S ribosomal RNA". It matches the Rfam family "Bacterial small subunit ribosomal RNA", at positions 524 to 776 of the family's 1533-position model. The record is from RNAcentral.